GCUAUCUUGGCCGAGUGGUCUAAGGCGGUGGUUUUAAGUAGGUAAUCUUAUGAUCUAUCUUCAACACCAUUAUCGAGAGAUGCGCAGGUUCGAACCCUGCAGAUAGCA
Molecule: transfer RNA, 108 nt
Filed under: Hypoxylon sp. FL0890
Lineage: Eukaryota; Fungi; Ascomycota; Sordariomycetes; Xylariales; Hypoxylaceae
Description: tRNA-Leu
Rfam family: tRNA
About the family: Transfer RNA (tRNA) molecules are approximately 80 nucleotides in length. Their secondary structure includes four short double-helical elements and three loops (D, anti-codon, and T loops).
Source: RNAcentral